Molecule: ribosomal RNA, 205 nt
Filed under: Kluyvera sichuanensis
Lineage: Bacteria; Pseudomonadati; Pseudomonadota; Gammaproteobacteria; Enterobacterales; Enterobacteriaceae
Description: partial 16S ribosomal RNA
Rfam family: Bacterial small subunit ribosomal RNA
Source: RNAcentral
AUAUUGCACAAUGGGCGCAAGCCUGAUGCAGCCAUGCCGCGUGUAUGAAGAAGGCCUUCGGGUUGUAAAGUACUUUCAGCGAGGAGGAAGGCAUUGUGGUUAAUAACCGCAGUGAUUGACGUUACUCGCAGAAGAAGCACCGGCUAACUCCGUGCCAGCAGCCGCGGUAAUACGGAGGGUGCAAGCGUUAAUCGGAAUUACUGGG